CUUCAUUUUAUCCUCACAACAAACUCUGGAAAUAGAUAUUAUUACUUCUAAUUUUUGCAGAUGGAUAAAUUGAGGCAGACCAAGGUUAAAUUACUCACCAAGGAUCAUGCCACAGUAAGUGUGCGAGGUUAGAUUUGAAUAUAGGUCUUCUUGCCUCAGUGUGCCAUCCAGCUGCCUCCUCCCAAACCCCCUCCAGGAAAUACCUUCUAGUAACCUAAAAAGUUCUAAAAUGUGUGUGUUUCUAGACUAGGAAUAUCCAUGUUGGGUCUUGAAUAUGAAAUGUCUACACUAAUAUCAAAUUUUUAGUACCUCAGAUUUACUGUAAAUUGUGUGUCAUUAAAACUCUUUUUUACAUUUUCUCCUCACCCAAAGUCAGUAUCUUAGUAAAACAUUCCGAUGACCAUUGACUCCCUAAGUAUAUGGAUGUGAAGGAGGCCGGCCUUUGAAGAACGGAGGGUCAGAUCAUUGGUACCAACAUUUUGUCUCCGUGAGGGAUGCUGAUUCUGCCCGGUGGUGGUUGUGAUGGGACUCCUGGCGCCAUUGUUACAGGGAACUCUUUCUUGUUGUGUUUCUUAUGAAGAACUUACUGCUGGAUUUUCGGUUCUUAUCCAUUCUGUUAUCUUCUUCCAUGUUAUGGUGGAAAUUCAUGAAAAGUUUCCCAAAACAUUUUCACCGUUGGAUGUGCAGUUAUAAUUGCUGUUCCCCACAAUCAUGGCCCUGAGUUCUGAAGGCUGGAAGAGUUCCAGUACUUUGCCUCCACACACCUUCAGA
Molecule: long non-coding RNA, 771 nt
Organism: Gracilinanus agilis (Agile Gracile Mouse Opossum)
Lineage: Eukaryota; Metazoa; Chordata; Mammalia; Didelphimorphia; Didelphidae
Exons: 4
Source: RefSeq, a predicted model, not a curated record